RNAcentral lists this ribosomal RNA (516 nucleotides) under uncultured bacterium. RNAcentral's name for it is "partial 16S ribosomal RNA". It matches the Rfam family "Bacterial small subunit ribosomal RNA", at positions 28 to 523 of the family's 1533-position model. The record is from RNAcentral.
GACGAACGCUGGCGGCAUGCCUAAUACAUGCAAGUCGAGCGGAGUUGAUGGAAAGCUUGCUUUCCUGAUACUUAGCGGCGGACGGGUGAGUAACACGUAGGCAACCUGCCCUCAAGCUUGGGACAACUACCGGAAACGGUAGCUAAUACCGAAUACUUGUUUUCUUCGCCUGAAGAGAACUGGAAAGACGGAGCAAUCUGUCACUUGGGGAUGGGCCUGCGGCGCAUUAGGUAGUUGGUGAGGUAACGGCUCACCAAGGCGACGAUGCGUAGCCGACGUGGGAGGGUGAUCGGCCACGCUGGGACUGAGACACGGCCCAGACUCCUACGGGAGGCAGCAGUAGGGAAUCUUCCGCAAUGGGGGAAAGCCUGACGGAGCAAUGCCGCGUGAGUGAUGAAGGUUUUCGGAUCGUAAGGCUCUGUUGCCAGGGAAGAACGCUUGGGAGAGUAACUGCUCCCAAGGUGACGGUACCUGAGAAGAAAGCCCCGGCUAACUACGUGCCAGCAGCCGCCGCAG